Hemiscyllium ocellatum (epaulette shark) is the source of this 207-nucleotide small nucleolar RNA. RefSeq annotates it as small nucleolar RNA U3. Lineage: Eukaryota; Metazoa; Chordata; Chondrichthyes; Orectolobiformes; Hemiscylliidae. The transcript has a single exon. The record is from RefSeq and is a predicted model, not a curated record.
AAGACUGUACUCUUAGGGAUCAUUUCUAUAGUUUUUUCCUAGAGAGAUGGGUUCUUGAGUUUGUCGUCUCACCAACCAUGAGGAGGAUUUAUAGUGUUCUCUUCUGAGCAGGAAGUUGGUAGUGAGUGUUGCUCAUUGCCCUUGACGAUUGCUCCUUCUCUCUUGUGUGGAGAGUUGGAGGGAGAAAACAAAAAUAAACAGGAGGGU